UUCUGGGUGGUCUAGCUUGGUUAGGAUAACAGGUUGUGGCCCUGUUGACCCGGAUUCAAAUUCCGGCCCAGAAC
RNAcentral lists this transfer RNA (74 nucleotides) under archaeon CG06_land_8_20_14_3_00_37_11. RNAcentral describes it as "tRNA-His". It matches the Rfam family "tRNA". Rfam says of the family: Transfer RNA (tRNA) molecules are approximately 80 nucleotides in length. Their secondary structure includes four short double-helical elements and three loops (D, anti-codon, and T loops). RNAcentral also lists the same sequence under 1 other name. The record is from RNAcentral.